UACAGAGGGUGCAAGCGUUAAUCGGAAUUACUGGGCGUAAAGCGUGCGUAGGUGGAUGCUUAAGUCAAAUGUGAAAGCCCCGGGCUCAACCUGGGAAUUGCAUCUGAUACUGGGUAUCUAGAGUAUGGUAGAGGAUGGCGGAAUUUCCGGUGUAGCGGUGAAAUGCGUAGAUAUCGGAAGGAACACCAGUGGCGAAGGCGGCCGUCUGGGCCAAUACUGACACUGAGGCACGAAAGCGUGGGUAGCAAACAGG
RNAcentral lists this unclassified non-coding RNA (253 nucleotides) under uncultured Gammaproteobacteria bacterium. Its description in RNAcentral is "contains 16S-23S intergenic spacer region". It matches the Rfam family "Bacterial small subunit ribosomal RNA", at positions 524 to 776 of the family's 1533-position model. Lineage: Bacteria; Pseudomonadati; Pseudomonadota; Gammaproteobacteria. The record is from RNAcentral.